Molecule: unclassified non-coding RNA, 484 nt
Filed under: Hevea brasiliensis (rubber tree)
Lineage: Eukaryota; Viridiplantae; Streptophyta; Magnoliopsida; Malpighiales; Euphorbiaceae
Source: RNAcentral
UGAAUUUGGUUCAAUACACAGCUGUGAGUAUUUUGUUUUGCUACUGUACAGAGAAGCUGCCCUUAGGCCUAGGUUGUAGCAUACGUUGCAAUUUCUUGUCGUGAUAAUUAGGGAAGUGUUUAACAGUGUGAUUGUUUCUUUAUGCUGAGGAUAGGAAGAAAAGGCUUGGAUGAAUCAUACCUUUGUUAUUUUGGCCUUGAGUUUUUUCCAUUUUUAUUCUCAUUCCCAUUUAAGGGUGGGCGUUGGACUAAUGGUAAGGUUGCUCCACUGUGACCUGGAGCCAGAGGUCAUGGGUUUAUGCCACAGAAACAGUGAAGGUUGCGCACACUUAUCUUUUCUGCAGCCAUGACGCAGGAAGUGUCAGGCUCUAAGGCACUCUUUACCCUCUUUCCCCUUUUUCUUUUGUGUGUCCUGGUUUGGUUAUAUCCGAUAUUCACUGGGGAACAGGGAAAGAGUGCAAUCCACGUACACACUUAUGCAUGUG